AGCGGAGGAAAAGAAACUAACAAGGAUUCCCCUAGUAACGGCGAGUGAAGAGGGAAGAGCCCAAGUUUGAAAGCUGGCGUCUUCGGCGUCCGCAUUGUAAACUCGAGAAGCGUUUUCCGCGCCGGACCAAGCUCAAGUCCCUUGGAAUAGGGCAUCAUAGAGGGUGAGAGUCCCGUACUUGGCUUGGAGUCCCCGGGGCUUUGUGAUACGCUCUCCAAGAGUCGAGUUGUUUGGGAAUGCAGCUCAAAAUGGGUGGUAAAUGCCAUCUAAGGCUAAAUAUCGAGGAGAGACCGAUAGCGAACAAGUACCGUGAGGGAAAGAUGAAAAGAACUUUGGAAAGAGAGUUAAACAGUACGUGAAAUUGCCGGAAGGGAAGGGUAGGGAGUCAGAUAUGCUGUGCGGAUUCAGCCUUGUCUUUGGACUUGGUGUAUUUUCGUAUUGGCAGGCCAGCAUCGGUUUGUGCCGCUGGAUAUAGGCUUGGGGAAUGUGGCUUUGUCUUCGGUCAAAGUGUUAUAGCCCCUUGCUGAGUACAGCGGCAUGGACCGAGGCACGCAGCGCACCCUCUGGGCGGGCCCUCGGGCACCUUUGCGCUUAGGAUGCUGGCUUAAUGGCUCUCUGCCACCCGUCUUGA
Molecule: ribosomal RNA, 631 nt
Filed under: Fereydounia khargensis
Lineage: Eukaryota; Fungi; Basidiomycota; Ustilaginomycetes; Urocystidales; Fereydouniaceae
Description: eukaryotic LSU rRNA
Rfam family: Eukaryotic large subunit ribosomal RNA
Source: RNAcentral